AGAGUUUGAUCCUGGCUCAGGAUAAACGCUGGCGGCGUGCCUAACACAUGCAAGUCGAACGCCCUUCCUGCAAAGGAAGGGAGUGGCGGACGGGUGAGGAACACGUGGGUAUCUGCCUUUGGGUGAGGAAUACCGGCGAGAAAUCGCCGACAAUACCGCAUAGGCUCGGCAACGAGCAAAGUCGCAAGACGCCUAAAGAG
RNAcentral lists this ribosomal RNA (200 nucleotides) under uncultured bacterium. RNAcentral's name for it is "partial 16S ribosomal RNA". It matches the Rfam family "Bacterial small subunit ribosomal RNA", at positions 8 to 226 of the family's 1533-position model. The record is from RNAcentral.